Molecule: ribosomal RNA, 838 nt
Filed under: uncultured bacterium
Lineage: Bacteria
Description: bacterial SSU rRNA
Rfam family: Bacterial small subunit ribosomal RNA
Source: RNAcentral
CCGAAAUUUGCCCCUUAGAAUUUGAUCCUGGCUCCGGGAUGAACGCUGGCGGCGUGCUUAACACAUGCAAGUCGAACGAGAACUUGAGAGACUGAUUCUUCGGAUGAAGUCCCUUGAGGGAAAGUGGCGGACGGGCGAGUAACACGUGAGCAACCUACCCUUUACAGUGGAAUAACAAUCGGAAACGAUUGCUAAUACCGCAUAACAUAUACCUUAGGCAUCUUCGGUAUAUCAAAGAUUUAUCGGUAAUGGAUGGGCUCGCGUCUGAUUAGUUAGUUGGUGAGGUAAUGGCUCACCAAGACCGCGAUGGGUAGCCGGCCUGAGAGGGUGAACGGCCACACUGGAACUGAGACACGGUCCAGACUCCUACGGGAGGCAGCAGUGGGGAAUCUUGCACAAUGGGCGAAAGCCUGAUGCAGCGACGCCGCGUGAAUGAUGAAGGCCUUCGGGUCGUAAAAUUCUGUCCUAAGGGAAGAUAAUGACGGUACCUUAGGAGGAAGCACCGGCUAACUACGUGCCAGCAGCCGCGGUAAUACGUAGGGUGCAAGCGUUGUCCGGAAUUACUGGGCGUAAAGGGUUCGCAGGCGGCCUUUUAAGUCAGGCGUUAAAGAUCAUGGCUCAACCAUGGUAUGCGCUUGAAACUGAAAGGCUUGAGUCAAGGAGAGGAAAGUGGAAUUCCUAGUGUAGCGGUGAAAUGCGUAGAUAUUAGGAGGAAUACCAGUGGCGAAGGCGACUUACUGGUCUGUAAUUGACGCUGAGGCUCGAAAGCGUGGGUAGCAAACAGGAUUAGAUACCCUGGUAGUCCACGCCGUAAACGAUGAGUGCUAAGUGUUAGGGG